This 77-nucleotide transfer RNA is filed under the name Bacillota bacterium. Its description in RNAcentral is "tRNA-Met". It matches the Rfam family "tRNA". Rfam says of the family: Transfer RNA (tRNA) molecules are approximately 80 nucleotides in length. Their secondary structure includes four short double-helical elements and three loops (D, anti-codon, and T loops). Further hydrogen bonds mediate the characteristic L-shaped molecular structure. tRNAs have two regions of fundamental functional importance: the anti-codon, which is responsible for specific mRNA codon recognition, and the 3' end, to which the tRNAs corresponding amino acid is attached (by aminoacyl-tRNA synthetases). tRNAs cope with the degeneracy of the genetic code in two manners: having more than one tRNA (with a specific anti-codon) for a particular amino acid; and 'wobble' base-pairing, i.e. permitting non-standard base-pairing at the 3rd anti-codon position. Lineage: Bacteria; Bacillati; Bacillota. The record is from RNAcentral.
GGCGGGAUAGUUCAGUUGGCUAGAACAAUCGGUUCAUACCCGGUAUGUCAGGGGUUCAAGUCCCUUUCCCGCUACCA